Molecule: RNase P RNA, 459 nt
Filed under: bacterium
Lineage: Bacteria
Description: RNase P RNA component class A
Rfam family: Bacterial RNase P class A
About the family: Ribonuclease P (RNase P) is a ubiquitous endoribonuclease, found in archaea, bacteria and eukarya as well as chloroplasts and mitochondria.
Source: RNAcentral
GCGGGUGGUUGGGUGAUCGCCCUGAUUUGGCACUGCUGAAUCGGGGAGGAAAGUCCGAACACCCCACCGGUCGCAAGGCCGGCGGAAGGAGGUAGUCGCUAACAGCGACGGGGUAUACCGGCAUGCUGGAGAUCGCGCUAGCGCCUUCAGGGUGCCCCAAGCCCACGGAGAGUUUCCGCCAUUGGCGGGAGGAUCCCGAUGCAGUGUCGAGCAUCCGGCACGCAUGGGGACCGCAACAGAAAAGAUACCGCCACUGACGAUGCGACCAGUGCAGUGGUAAGGGUGAAAUCGUGCGGUAAGAGCGCACGCGGGACUGCCCCGUGAGGGGCGUCGUGGCAAACACCUACCCGGUGCAAGGGGAAUGACCCCCGCAUCGAGCUGCGCAGUAAUGCGCAGCCCAGAGAGAUGAUCACCCCCGCAUCGCGGGAACAGAAUUCGGCUUACAGGCCGCCCGCAGCA